AACGAGCUGCGGCUGUAAUUGUGCUGCUCGCCGUCGGCGCCUGAAGUGCCUCGUUUUCAGCUCGCCGUUCGAGUGUUGGAUCAAUGCCGAACCGGCGUUCCUGUAGCUGGAUCCAGAGGAGGGGCGUGGCCUAACAGGAGUCUGCGUACGUGGAGGAGCGUCACGUGCGCUCGUAGGGUCUGGACGAGGCGUGCACGUGCUUCAUUUGCAGGCUGUUGUGCGUGCACGGUGUGUGUCCUUGUGUUUGCUCGAUGCGGCAAAGGGUGGAGUGGCAGAUCAAUAGGAAACAAAUUAAUUCAGAUCAAUAAGAAGCCGAGGAGUGAAGGAGAGAGAAGGGGAGUGGGCUGAUGCACCAUGAGGAGGAGGAGGAGGAGGAGGAGGAGGAAGGCUGCUGCUCCCCGUCGAUGUGUUUCCUAACGGCACACCUGGGAGGACUGUCGUUCUGGAGCGGCGCUCGGAGGUCACGGACGCUCACGAGGGAGGGGGCAGAAAAGAUCCUCAUCGGUGCUUCUCCUUCAGACGCUGCAGCUGUUUAACGUCCUCUGAUGUCUGCAGCGUUUCUUCCUUCAUCCACAAUUCAGUUAUCUCCGUGAAAACUGACGAGAAAAAGACUUUUGAGUCAGAAACGUCUGGAGUUUGAAGAGGAAACACUGAUGAGAAUAAAUCAAAUCAGCUCAAAGCUGCUGCUGAGAUUUACACGGAACUCCAGCAGGAAGAUCGCUGUGAGACGGAGCAGCUUCCGACUGUGUCUCUUUAUGUGUCUGCCCCCCCAGCACUGCGUUCUCUUUGCUCGCCAUCUCCCUCUAAUGCGUUUUGGCGUGCGUUACCCACGGCUGUUUGAGCGCCGCCGCCACACCCCCCCGAGCCAGGUCAGUGGUGCGACUCCAUCAGUCACCCCCCCACACCCAUCUGAGGCCGUCAGUGGUGGUGAGCUUGACUGACACCAACCAAAGUUGACGGAGUUACGUCAGACGUUUGGGAAAAAGUUCAGAGUCCAGACGAUGGAGGGAGGAGCUUGUUCACGCCGACGUGUUUCAGACGGCGAUCGUUUGAAUCCUUCAUGAUUCCCUCUAAACGCCUGAACCUCCAUUAGGUUCUUCAGAGAGAAUUCAGUUCAUCUCCACAGUUUACUCUUAUUUUAUUGUAAUUUACCUGCUACCUCAACAUAACAAAGUCUUUUUUACUGAA
Oryzias melastigma (Indian medaka) is the source of this 1188-nucleotide long non-coding RNA. RefSeq lists it as uncharacterized. The record is from RefSeq and is a predicted model, not a curated record. The transcript has 2 exons. Lineage: Eukaryota; Metazoa; Chordata; Actinopteri; Beloniformes; Adrianichthyidae.